UGUUGCUGUCACAUAUACCCAAAUGCUUGAGCAAGUCAUGCAGCUAUAAGGUCCAUAUAGGUCUAGCUUAUGCACCCUAUCUGGCUAAAAACCUCUCCUUCACGCACAAGAAAAGCAUAUAUAUACAGUGUGAAAGAGAGAAACAGCUGUUCUCUAUAUACAUUUAAUAAUGAUGAAUAUAUACUACACAACUUUCACUAUGGAUGCGCCUUCUCGUCUUGUUUUCUCCCUUUGUUCUCCUCUCACUAUCUUUCUCCUUUUUUCCAUGAGCUUAAUUGUCAAGAAAACUGCAGAAAUGGGGGUUCCUUUGCAGCCCAAAACAACUCCAUCGCUGAAGAAGAUGAUGAACUUCAUGCUCCUUGUUUUGGACUGAAGGGAGCUCCUAGUUCUUCUCUUUUCCUUCUCUAAUGGCUUUCAAGGCUGGAAACUAUUAACCAAUAUACGUAUAUAUAUAUAUAUAUAUAUAUAUAUAUAUAUAUGCCUAGAGAGUGUUUGCUAUCUUGGAGGAUUGGAUAUAUCUAAGGGGACAUGACUAGAGACCAUACUUCAUAGGUGUUGUUGGAACUAUACAGGGAGAAGUCUGAAAUUGGAGUCUAAAAAUCAGGAAGCCAGAAUCAGUCAGCAUGGCAUUUGCCGGCUUUGAAGGAUUACACUGCAAUACUUGGUUGAAGAUAAUCUUGAAACAUUUAUCUAUGAUGCUUUCACCCGACACAGGAAGGUCCUGAAUUAUGCAGAUUAGAAAUUUUGCAGCCUAAUUCUGAUAAUAUUACUUUACACACAUAAAUAUUUGUUCCAAAAAUUGAAACCCUGUAUGAAAAGGUAAUCUUAACAGAAUCCUAGUUAAGAUUUGCUUAUAUUCAAGCAGCCCAUCCAGUGAUCCACUUAAUAUGGGACCUAUGUAUCACAAAGUACUGCAAAUUUUGCAUCCUCUGUUCUGUGAGCAUUUCACCAUUUUCUCUGGCAUCCUAGGCAUAUUCUUGAAUUCAUCUCUCUUCACAAACUCCAGGUAAUUGAGAUAUUAGGCUUCUACAUCCAAGAGCAUUUGAAUAUCAUAUUAUCAACCACUUCUCCAGAGUCACAGAAGGAUGCAUCAGCAGUCAGCAUCCUUAAAUUAUAUUCCCUGCAUCUUGUUUCUGUGUUGCUAAGGGCUUUUGAAGGUGCUUUGCUGGAAAUACAUGUACCAUUUUCAGUGUAACAUUCAAGGUACUUGAAUUUUGAACAGACCACUCAUCUCCCUCGACACUUCUAGCUGCUCCUGAAAUCUCUCAAUUGCAAAUUCCUCUGGGUAUACUGUUCUAAUUCAUCUAGGAUUGGAAGCAAGAUUAAACAUAAUAGCCAGGUAACACUAAUCAAUUCAAGCAAGUAAUGUGAGCCCAUGCCAUAAAUUGAAGAAAUAUACCAAUGACUAGAUACAAAAUGAAAAUUAUCCAUGUAAUUGUCUGCAAGUCCAAAGGUAGGAGACUCCCAGGAGUGUCCAGCAAAUUUAUGAGAGCCUACCCCAUAUACAUGCCCGGACACAAACUAAAGAAAGAAAUUGUCUCUACGUGACCCUCACAUUUUUUUCUCAUCCCUACAUUCACAAGCCCCAUGAACUUGCAACAAAAAAGAUCACAUGUACGCACACCUAAGCUAUUGGACACUUCUGAGGCCCCCACCUUCCAUCCAUAUCAAGCACAAGGGAGAUACUCUUCAUUGAUGGGAAUGGAAGGCAGACAUGUAACUUGCUGCUGCUUAAUCUGCCCUGCAGCCAGUUGCAGCUGUUGCUGUUGUUGGACAUUGCAGUUGAUACGCGAGCAUAACGUGGUGUCUCCACCGCCACCGCCUAGCGGUAUCACAGGGAGGUUGUCGCAGUUGCAGAUCUCGAUCAUGGAGCCAUCAGGAUCGUGGAAGAAGAGUUGAUCAACGCAGAUUCCACCCUCCUCCACCCUACUCUGCACGUACUCUAUCUUCAUCUCCUUAAGCUUUUUCUCCACUGUUGCCAUGCUUUCACACUGCCAUGUAUCAAGAGAGAUUUUGUCAUUUUAUCACAUGUUUUCAACUAUUCAUAGAAAACGACAAUAGAAUGGACUGAAACAGCUCUGCAUUUUCCCUGGCA
Vitis vinifera (wine grape) is the source of this 2095-nucleotide long non-coding RNA. RefSeq lists it as uncharacterized. The record is from RefSeq and is a predicted model, not a curated record. The transcript has 2 exons. Lineage: Eukaryota; Viridiplantae; Streptophyta; Magnoliopsida; Vitales; Vitaceae.